Belonocnema kinseyi is the source of this 1245-nucleotide long non-coding RNA. RefSeq lists it as uncharacterized. NCBI's taxonomy places the organism in Eukaryota, Metazoa, Arthropoda, Insecta, Hymenoptera, Cynipidae. The transcript has 4 exons. The record is from RefSeq and is a predicted model, not a curated record.
GGUGACUUUAGUGCUUUUGUUAAACUCGUUUCUUCAAAGUCUAAUGGUCUAUGCAUACAAGACCCAACAUCAGGUUCAGUUUUUUUUUCACAUCUCCACAUGAUAAGAUAUUUUCUUUCAACGUUAUCACAUAAUCUGAAGUCGUUUGGAUAUUUUCGAGAGCAGAAUCCGGAUAAGAAGAAGUAAUACCGUGGAUGCAGUGCUUGGAUUAAUCAUUAAUUCUAGUGGAAUGUCUGUCAUAAGACGGAAGAGAAGUUGGAACUUUAUUAGUUCCAGCAAUGAGUGCGGCUGAGAGGGGUGUCACAGUAUUGAUAAUUUGCACUAGGACUUCAUAAUUGGUAAACGGGAGUUCCUGUCCAUUGAAGGGAACAUAAGCAAUUUUACCAUCAGGUUGCAGCUGCAAAAAAUUACAAUCUCAGAUAUAAAUAAUGAAAUUGAUACUCCUUUAAAAAUUGAAAUGAGUUCUUAUUAAACAAUUUCAGAAAAAGUAAGUUCUUCGUAGAAAAAAGAAAAAAAUGCUUACUUUUCCUACUAUAAUCAUGCCUUCGUGCUUGACCCUAGCAACGUAAUAUCUUGGUUUUCCACGUCGGUAGCCACCAAUAAUUGCACCUUCAGGAACAUAGCCUAAGGAUGCUGCCACCCACUUCAUACGACAGCCGAAUAAUUGACCUGCACAAUCUUGAGACCCGAUUUUAUAAUCAGGACCGAGGCCAAUUUGAACAUCAGCGUAAACAGUGGGAUCAAUUUCUUCUUCGUUUUCUUGGUACAUAUUGAAGCUAAGGAAUUGAGGAGAUAUUGGAUUUGGAUCUCUCCAUUGCAAAACUGGAUUUGAUGCACUUGUUCUUCCCAAAGGGACGUGGAUCUCGCCACUCAUGGAAGGCUGUAUCACUUUCUCCAAGGCCAAUCUGGAUAAAAGUUCUGAGUUUCUCUGUUUUCAUUCGAACCCAGAAAUUUCGAAAUUCCCGCGCACUCAGAAGAUUUACGGUUUUUAUCGAGGCACUGGGUUCCUCUUGGCAUGGACAUCUUCCUCUGAUGUGAUUCACCGUGUUAUUAUGAGCGCCAAGUACAAUCUCAUAGACCGGUUCGUCAGCCUGUUCAAUUUGAGGUUUAUUUUUCUAGUUAUUAUUACCAAUUAAAUUUGCAUAUAACAUUUAAGUGUUUGGUCAAUUUGGGAUUCUUGAAAUUAAAAAUGGUAAAAUAUCGACAUUACUAUUGAAAAAUCAUAAUUUAUAUAAGUGACUAUUU